CCCUUAGAUGUUCUGGGCCGCACGCGCGCUACAAUGAUGCGUUCAACGAGCACCAAACCUUGGCCGGAAGGUCUAGGUAAACUUUGAAACCGCAUCGUGCUGGGGAUAGAUGAUUGCAAUUGUUCAUCUUCAACGAGGAAUUCCUAGUAAACGCAAGUCAUCAGCUUGCAUUGAUUACGUCCCUGCCCUUUGUACACACCGCCCGUCGCUACUACCGAUUGAAUGGUUUAGUGAGCUUCAUGGACCGGUCCGUGUGAUGGGUUUCCCUUUGCACGUGGCUGGAAAGUGAAUCAAACUUGAUCAUUUAGAGGAAGUAAAANUCGUANCA
Molecule: ribosomal RNA, 328 nt
Filed under: uncultured eukaryote
Lineage: Eukaryota
Description: partial 18S ribosomal RNA
Rfam family: Eukaryotic small subunit ribosomal RNA
Source: RNAcentral